Molecule: RNA transcript, 2500 nt
Organism: Lycium barbarum (goji berry)
Lineage: Eukaryota; Viridiplantae; Streptophyta; Magnoliopsida; Solanales; Solanaceae
Exons: 8
Source: RefSeq, a predicted model, not a curated record
UGAGGUCAAUUAUAUAUAAUUUUGUUUGAUAAAGUUGUUGUCAAUUAUAAUACUUUUUUGAUAACGGUAAUGUCAAUUAUCCAGUUCUUAUGUAGAACCAGUUAUAUUAUACAAAUCACAUAGGUCCCUUGAAUAUUUUUACUGAAAUCUAUAAAUUAAAACUUAAAUCCAUUUUGAUUAGUCCCAAUCUCUUCGUAUGUUGUGAUAUUGUUUAGAUUGAUAGUGGAAGACAAUAUGAAAUUCUUCUGGAAACAAUUCAAAAAGGGAGGAAAAAAAACCUCUUCUUCUCUUAGAAUCCCUUCUGUAACAGUCGCUCUCUUAAUUGCCAUACUUAUCUUUCUCUUCCAGUUAAAUUUCCUUCAACGCGUUCCUCUUCUCCUCUUCUUUGUCUUCUCUUUUGGAGUAUAGUAUUUUAUUUUCACUCGCCAGAGAGAAGUUCUGUUCCCAUUGUAUAGUUGUUCCCUUAAUGUUUACUUGGUGUUUCAUCUUUCGGUCAUGCUAUGUUUGAUUGUUCAUACUAUUUUUUACCUUUUAUUUAGGAAAGAAUUGAUUGGUUGUUUUGGGCUUUAUUUUUCACUUUACUCUGCUAAAAUUGAAGGAAAAGAAAAUAUUACCAUGAUAUAUAUGAAACUAAGUGGUAAAUCAAAGGAAGAAGAACAGAUUAACUUCUUCUCAUUCUGCAAAACAGAUAUUGUGGUGCCAUUCGCACCCUGCAAUUCUUGUUUGUAUGUGUCAUUAUAUCCCUUUCCUUUGUAUUUUUUUGCAAUUUGUUUCCUGGCCUUCUCUUAUUAGAUUUAAAUUGUAAUAGAAGAUUUUGGGUUCUCAUAUAGGAGUUUAGCAGAAACAAAGAAAACAGUUACUUCUUCACACAAGAUGUCAGAGACAAGCAUAAGUCCUUGAAGACGGUCUCUGCUCUUCCAGGAAGGGACUGUAUCAGAGAGUGCGAUCCCGGCAACUGAUCGAAAAUUUAGGGGAAGAAGAGUCACACAUUUGUUCUGCAGAAAAAAAAAGAGGGUUCUGAAUUUGGCUGAAUGAAGUUUGGAAUUUAUUAGGCCCUAAUCAUUCAUAAAGAUUUGAGCAAAGAUUAUUGUUCCCUCUUUCGCGAUUCAUAUCCAUGGCUAUCAUUGCUGGAGCCAGCGCAGUCAGCGGUACUACAUAUGGUUGACAGAUGCACAAGCAGAAACGAGGCAAUUCUCCUCUCCUAAACGAGCGCUUUGCAAGAUUCUUACUGGAUAUGCCCUGGCGGUUGGAUAUAGUCGGCAUCUCUUUCUUAGAUUGCCGCAAAAUAUGAUCUGAAAAUUCCCAAGAGCUGUGUAUCGAGAUGCUUAUUAAAAGAGAGUUAUCUAUCGAGGUAUUGGUUCCUGAUGACUUACCCUUAUUUUGGAUAAGUUCCUAACUUCCCUAUGACAGGCUAUCUCUUUGAGUCACAUUUUUUCCCAUGUACUUUGUAUACAUUAUGUUACUGCAGUAGAAGAAUUCUACAUUUUGUAUUGCUACCACAGUAAAUGGUACAACUGCAAAUACCAUUAGUUUCAUCACUAAGUAGGUGAACUGUUCUGCUGCCAAACUUAGAUGGUUUAGGUUGGUGAUGUGUUAUACUUUGUUGAAAUUGGAACCUUUUGGAUCUGAAAUCUCAGAUGGUCACUAUUUAGAUGUAUCUAUGUUUGAUUGAAAAAAAAAUGUAGAAGAGUUAUCUUCCUUUUCAGGGCCAUUCGGCUAUUCAGUACAUGAUACAUUGAAGAUCAUAACCUAGGGAACAACAAAAGAGGCUAGCUGCACGUCAGGCGGAGCUGGGCAAAGCUAGCCAUGAAGGUUUUGUAUAGAAGCUUCCAGUGGAUAAUCAUGAGAAGGAUUAAAAAAAGCUUCUACUCAUUGUAGGUGUCUCUUGGCAACAAGAAAAAUAGAGAUGUGAUUCGCAAGGCAUGGAUGCCUACUGGUGCUGCUCUUACAAAAUUAGAGGAGGAGAAAGGUACUGUAAUACAAAUGAAUCAUUUCAUUUAGAUGAAGCUACAGGUAAUAUAUCAUAUGUUUAGACUUUCAGUUUAAAGUGAAUAAAGGUGCAAAUUUAUCUAAUAUACAUUGAUACUAUAAAAGAUUUUUUUUGUCUCUGCAGUUUUGCCAGAUGUGUUAGGUAAUUUACCCAUUAUAAUAGUUUAUGGUGGAAUCAUGAAGAAAUUUUAAAUAGUAAAGAUGGCUUUUGUGUGCCAAAUUAUUUCGCGAAAUAUUUAUUUUCUUUAUGAUUAUGAAUUGGGAAACUCUUUACUUAGCUCUAAUCUAUGUAUUUAUAUACAGCUGGUCUAUAGCCCAAGUUACAUGGCACUUCCAAAAAAAACCCAGUUAUCUUUUUGUUUCCCCUUUUGUUUUGUUAUUUGCUUGCUCAUUGUUUGGUUCUUUUCCCCUUUCCCUGAUUCUUUAUUUGUUAUUGUAAUAGAGAUUGGCAACAAGAAGUUGAGUUAUAAUAAACAAUUGUAUCCAUUAUGAUCCUCGAAUUCUGGUGACA